AAGUUGUAAAAUAUAUUGAUUUUCACACAUUUAUAUUGCAAUAUGAUUGCCAUUGUAUCAUUAGCAAAUACCUCCAUGGUGUCACAUAUUUAUCAUUUCAGUGAUGGAAACACUUAAGAUAUAGUCACUUAGCAUAUUUAAUGUUUAUAAUAUGGUUUAGUUUUCUGCAUCUCUGUACUAGCUUACCAGGACUUAUUUAUCCAUCACUUGCAAGAAUGUACCCUUGACAUCUCUGUCAUUCCACUACAGCCAAGCUCCUGGAAACCACCAUUCCACUGUCAGUAUUUUCAAAUUGAGUUUUUUGUUUUUUGUUUUUUUUUAAGCUUCCAGUUAUAACAGAUAUCACACAGUAUUUGUCUUUCUCUGUCUCACUUAUCUCACUAGUAUAAUGUCCUCAAGGCUCAUUCAUGUUGUCACAAUCGAUAGGAUUUCCUGUUUUUCUAAUGUGUGAAUAGUAUUCCAUUGUGUGUGUAUCUAUAUAUCACAUCUUCUUUAUCCAUUCAUCCAUGUAUUUGUAGACAGACAGUUUGUUUCCAUAUCUUGUCUGUUGUGAGUAAUACUUCAAUAAACAUGGGAGUACAGAUAUCUCUUGGAUAAUGUUUUCAUUUCAAUUGAGUAUAUACACAGAUAUGUGAUUGCUGGAUUGUAUGGUAGUUCUAUUUUAAUUUUUGGAGGAACCUCCAUACUGUUCUCCAUAUGUCUGUCUGUAUUUAAUUAAAAGCUAUUCCAAGUUUUAUUUUUUGUAAUACAAAAUAUAGAAAAGAGACCCCCCUGGAUGAUUGAAGUAAGCAUGGGAUUAUUGAAACAUCAGGGUUGUUAACCUCACAUAUUAUAUAUCUUUGUUGUUGUAAAAGUUUGCUCUGUUUUUAGAUUUGGGGCAUUUAGAGAAUAAUGCCAACCUGAUUAUCAUUCUCAAGAGAGCUUUCAAGAGAUCAUUAAAAGUUAACAAGAGAACAGCAUGCUCCAGGAAGCAGCUAUUUUUAACAACGCCAAAUUUGAAUUCACCUACUUUAAAGCUUUCACUGUUUUUAGAAAGCAUCUCUAUCAAUAAUUUUUAGAUUACAAGUCUAUUGAGGUUGCAGUUUAUAGUCUCAUAUUAAAAUGAUCUGACAUUUUGCGUCCUGACAAAAUUCACAAGAAGUAAAUUAUUUCACUACAGGAGCAGUCUAAAUAGAGAAGCUGAGUACACAGGUUUGCUCUAAACAAACAAAAACCAACAUGUUCAGUUAAAUUGGGAAUUCACAAGUAUGUAUAAUUAUGCUUUGAUUUGAUAGAUGACAGCUAAGUAUUUGCCAUAUUAAAAAAAAAAAACUUGCUUUGUGGCAAAGGGCUGCUGUUUAAAGUACAAGUUUAAAAUUUCAUUAAAAAAUAAAAUCCUAUAAGGUAUAAUUUUGUCUCAAAGUUAAGUGAAAAAAUUUUUAAAAAUGUUUUUAGGGGAUCUAGCAUCUGCUUAACAACUUAGUUAUAUUGUAUUUAACUACAAUUAGUAUAAAUUUAAAAUAAUACUGGAAAAUAUUUUUAUGAUCACAAAUGCAUUUAGUAAUUGUCACUAAACAAAUAUAUCCUGUUUGGAACAGAUCACGGAUCUUUUGGUUAUUAUUCACUUUAUCUGGAAUGUUCUUCUUUUUUACUUGUCCAGCUUCUCUUUAUUCUUUGGUACCAGCUUGGUUGUCACGACUGGCCCAGCUGUGUGAUUUCCCCCCCUAAAGUAUGGCAGCUUGUAGCUCUCACUGCAGUGUUUACUUGUAAGCUCCCACUGGGCUGGAGUUGUUUCUUUCCUCAGAUUCUUUCUCAUUGCAUAGAAUAAGUGUUUAAUGAAUUGGCGUAGUUGACUUACUUCCUAAACUCUUCCUUUCUAAGGGUCUUUCUAAUGCAAAUCAGCAUUUCAGUGGUCUUGAACUGGAGCAAACUAAUUUCAGGAUCCCUCAGUUCUUUAUUUUUUUUUCAUAAUAUGUGUGUUUAUUAAGAAUCAUGGUAGAGUUGGUGUAGGUUAAUUAUUCUAGUUCUCUCUUUAUCAGUCAGCAGCCCUCCAGGAAACAGAUGGACAGAUGAAGGGUUCCAUGGAAGAGAGUUUAAUGAAAGGGCUCUUUAGAGGUGUGGACAGAGUUAAGUUGAACAACCUGAGGUCAGGAGCACUCAAGGACAAGUGUUAAAUAAUAAAAGAGGUGGACGAUAGUUAAAGAGCAGAGUUUAUUCAGGAACUACUAAAAUAGAGGAAGAAAGACCUAAGUAUAGAACUGGGCCCAAUUCUGAGUACAGCAUGGAUGGGUUGGAAUGUAUAACCAAUGAGCAGGGUGGGCAUCACUCGAUAGAUAAUUACUAAGGAAGGGAAGAGGGUACUUAGCUAAACUGACUCAACAAGAUUCUUGCUGAAAGUAGGCCAGGAUACUCAGAUAUCACCUGGGGGAUGGUGGGAGAUGAGGAAUUUAAUCAGACAGCAAGGAGAUCAAAUAGACAGUAGGGGAUUUUCUGUAAACUGACUUAGCAGAAAAAUUGGGUAAUGCAGAGAUGGACACAGAUGUCCAGAGGUUGAGGCCUAGUUGAGAAGAGGGUUUAGAGAAGUUGGAUCAGGGUUUGAUCAAGGAGAGGAUCUUUGUCACCGCAGCAGAGAGAAGCUGUUACCAACCCAGGACCCAAAGGAGCAAAAGGAUAGAGCAUUGUGGGAGCUGUGGCUUACAGAAUACAGCCACUGUUAAAAUUGUGACCCAGCAAGAAGGGAGCUGGGCAUGGGGAGGUUUGGGAAGAAUAAAUACCCUAAUUAGCCAAUCCAACAGGAAGCCAGUAUGCAGGGGAGCCCAAGUGUGGAGGUCAAUCUUCUGGGCAAACAGCAAGGUGGAGGAGGGCAAAUGGAGAUGGAGGGGUCCGUGGAGAAUAGUCAGCACGUGCUCUAACUGGCAGGGAACUUUAGAAGAAUUAUUCCUUCCCUCUGAAGUUACUUUCUCAUCAAUAAAAUGUGAACAGUAACAUGUAGAUCAGCACAGAAUUAAAAAGAAGAAAAUAUCCCUUUUCAUCCAUUAGUCUCUAUAACUUCCAGUUCUUUGUGUUUUGAGCAUGGAUAUAAAAAUUUAAUCUCAAGUUCCUAAGCUUUAACCUUUCUUCUGAUUUGAGAGUUAAUAUAUAAGUUGAAUACAUUAAGAAUGGACUGAAGAACUAAGAAAUGUGGCAAUGUAAUUAAAGCAGAAAACAUUUGCUCUGACAAAUGUAACAUUUCACUCCACCAAG
Long non-coding RNA from Phyllostomus discolor (pale spear-nosed bat), 3222 nucleotides. RefSeq lists it as uncharacterized. The transcript has 2 exons. Lineage: Eukaryota; Metazoa; Chordata; Mammalia; Chiroptera; Phyllostomidae. The record is from RefSeq and is a predicted model, not a curated record.